This 657-nucleotide long non-coding RNA is filed under the name Vitis vinifera (wine grape). Its description in RNAcentral is "long non-coding RNA (VVIN_LNC005221)". Lineage: Eukaryota; Viridiplantae; Streptophyta; Magnoliopsida; Vitales; Vitaceae. The record is from RNAcentral.
AAUUUUGAAUCACACAACCUAACCAACACAAAUUUAAUUUGAAUUCAACCUGAGAUUAGAGAAAUGAUGUUAGGUUGAACCUGUGUUGAGUACCCAAACCAACCCAAACUCAACCCUAGUUGAGAGAAAUAAUGUUUGAUUGACUUUGUGUCGAGUAUGUUAGAUUGGGCUUUUGUUGAAUACCUUGGAUUAGAAGUCAAAUUGAAUUCGAUUGGAUUUAGAUUGAUCAUUUAUUAAUUUGUGUUGGACUAAAAAUAACUACCAAUGCAACCAAUCUAACCAAGUUGCAACCUUAUUUCAUACCAAUGGUUGAGGACUGAUUAUUAAAAAACUUCACUCUUAAUCGUAUGUUACAUGAAAAUGGAGAAUAGUUGAAAAUAAAUUCCCUAAUUUUUUUAGAACAAAAAUCUAUUUAAAAACUAAAAAUUCACACCUUAUUUUAUGAGGUUUUAAAUAUUUAUUAAAAAUAACUUUUAUAUAUAAUAUUUUUAAAAACUAAAAAUCCACAUCUUAUUUUAUGAGGUUUUAAAUAUUUAUUAAAAAUAACUUCUAUAUAUAAUAUUUUAUUUUCCAUCAGACUCCACAUUUAUACAAUUAUUUUUUUAAACAUUGAAACCAAUUAAAGCAUGUCAUCAGAAAACACCAUAUUUUCAAAAU